UGCUUCCCUUCCCCGAGGCUGUUGUCCACCUUUUAGUUCAUGAAUUCAUGAAUGAAGCAGAGCUUCCCAGUACGUAGUUGAAUAUUCUAGUCGUGGGUCCUCCUAGUUCUGCUAUGUGGGACGCCGCCUCAGCAUGGCCUAAUGAGCGAUGCCAUGUCCGCGCCCAGGAUCCGAACUAGCGAAACCCUGGGCCGCCGAAGCGGAGCACAUGAACUUAACCACUCGGCCAUGGGGAGCCCCUCUUUAAAAAUUUUUGGCUACUCUGUGGAUAGAUGAACUUAUUUAAUAUAUCUGUACAUGCUUCGUAAGGUGGUGAUUUUCUUCUAGGAGGCAUGUGCUAACUUUCUCCUCUCUGUUUUCCUGCCCCCUCCCCAAAUUUUCCUACUGCCUUCUGCCCAGACCACUGACAUUCUGUGGCCAGAGACCAGUCCAAAUGGACCAUGAAGACUGUUUAAGUAGUGAUCAUAUUUUUAAAAAAUGUUACUGUUUUUUAAUGUUUAAUGUAACAUUAAAAAUGUUAAUAUUAUAUGUUCUUUCAUGUAACAUGUAAAGUACAGAGACUUUAAGUGGACAGCUCAAUGAAUUUUUACAUAUGUAUGCACGCAUAUACCAUCAUCUAGAUCAAGAUGAGGCUCCCAGUCCAUACUCAGACAUAACCACUGUUCUGAUUUCUGUCACCAUAGAUUAGUUUUACCUGUUCUUGACCUUCUUAUGGGUAGAAUCAUACAGUCCGUAGUCUUUUGUGUCUGGUUUUAUUUGAUCAUCAUGUCUGUGAAAUUCGUUUGUCUUGUUGCAUGUAACAAUAACAAUAGUUUACUCUUUUUCAUUGCUGUGUUGUAUUCCAUCACAUGAGUAUAUCGCUAUUUAUCCAUUCUCCUGUUGAUGGACAUUUGUGUUGUUUACAAUUUUUAGCUUUUAUGUCUAAAGCUGCCAUGAGCAUUCCUGUACAUAUCUUUUAGUGGACAUGUGCACUCAUUUCUCUUGAGUUUAUGCAUAAGAAUGAAACUACCAAAUCAUAAGAUAGGUGUAUAUAUAGCUGUGGAAGAUAUUGCCAAAUAGUUUUCAACAGCGGUUGUACCAUUUUACGCUCCCA
Molecule: long non-coding RNA, 1093 nt
Filed under: Equus caballus (horse)
Lineage: Eukaryota; Metazoa; Chordata; Mammalia; Perissodactyla; Equidae
Description: lncRNA (ENSECAG00000049365.1)
Source: RNAcentral